GCACAUUACUCCUCUCAUUACUCCUAUUAUCACAAACCGAUGGGGAUAUUAACACCCUUUACUUGGCUGUACAAAUACAACUUGGCAAAAUCAUUGGUCUCUUCAUUGAUGAUAAUACCUUAAAUGAAUGAGCUUCUUCUGUCUAUCAGAUAAAGGGAAAGAAUAGAGACACUUUGCUGCUAUAAUAAAUUAUGAAGUAAAGAAAAUGUAAACAUCACUCCAGGCCAUUUGUACAUUUACACAUCCAAGUUCAAGUGUGGAAAAAUUCAUGCUGACAGAAAAGAGUAUUAGUUUCGUGACAAAUGGAAGUUCCAGCAGAACUUAAAUUUAUCAAUUGGCUUUUCCCAUCUACUUGCUUUUUCCUGCUAAAUGCUAUGCGCUAAAUCCAUAUCCAACACAUUCCAUUCAACUCCAUUAGCAACAACAAUAAUUACCACUCGUCAAAGACAUCUCAACUUUCUUCCUUCCCAUGUAUCUGUCUCUUUACUAACUACAGAGCAACUCAGACUGUCAACAAAACAUGUACUCAUCUUCCAGAAAAAUUCCUCAGGCUCGUGUUUUGAAGUUGCAGAUACAUGUGGUAAGAGUAAAAGGCUUAGGGAAAGAACCAGGCUUUGAUGAAGAUUGCCAGGGCUAGCUGCAGAAAGAAUGCCGCGAACACCACAAUUGUAAGAUCAUUCCCCUCAACACAAGACUUGAGGUUGACAGCAACAAAACAUGCUGAGUCGAUCCCAGCCGCAAGUAUAAUGAUCCAGCGGAGUACCUCAACUGGAAUAACCAGCAGAAAAGAGCUCAGAAUAAAAAUGAAGAGUGAAUAGCCCCACAUACACCAAAACCGUACGAGGCUAGCAUUUGUUCCGAGAUACUGAAGCAGGAAGUAAAAUGCCAAUGGUACCACAAUAGCAUAUCCAUAGAUUGCACAUGCUGCCACAUUUACAUAUCCAACAUCAAAGCUCCAAGAAGCACUGCUGUCAGCGCGUUUCUGUAUGAGGUAGGUGGCACAAUUUCCAAGAGAAGCUAGCACAAAGACCAAUGUAGUUGAAAUCCAGAUAAGCCCAGAUUUAAAACAUAAUAAAAAUUCUCAGAAUUAGCAGAGUGCAUACUGAUGUGAAAUAUGCCACUUUUUUGUGUUGUCUCCUAAAUGCUUUACCCCAUUUUACAGAUGAAUCUAAAACUCUCAAUUUUUUUAUAUUUAUUCACCCAUUGGGUGGCAUAUAGUGAUUUGUAAACUUGAAAAUGCAAGAAAAGACAAGGCACCUUUGGAAAAGCAAUAAAGAAAAUUUGAAUCUAGAGUUCCAGUAUUUGAUCAUGUACAGCUUUAAUGGCUGCGUUUCAAAGGAAUGGGAAAGAAAAAGGGAAAGGGGGCAAGAAGCGAGGAGGGAGGGAAAGGGGAAGAGGGUGUGGGCCUCUAUGGAAAGAAAUAGAAAAAAGAAAGAAUCAACUAGAAAAUAAUCGCAAAAAAAGCCCAUUUAGCACGCCAUUGCAGCCUCACUCUUUUCUUCUUUUCUGUCUGCUUUCAUCUUUUUUGUCACAGCCACUUCCACUUACCUCAGAUAAUGAUGAUUAAAAGAAAAAAUAAAAAAUAACACAAUUAUCAUGUUAAAUUUCCUUGAUCAGUUAUCUCUUUCAGAUUUCAAAUAAUUAUGUUUCAAGCUUUUAAGUUAUUAGAAAGUGAAAAACAACUAACUACUAUGCUGACAGUAUUGACAUGUACAUGCUUUUGAUGUCACACCCGCAAAUCCUAUUCCUCAAGUAUAAACAUAUUCCUCACCCCUCCCCCGCAGAAAUAGUUCAUACAGUUUCACAUCAAAGGUACAAAAAAGAUUCUCUAAUAUAUAAAAAUUUUUUUAAUGUCAAGAUACUGGAGGCAAACAAAACAGGGAAAAUGCCAAACUCACAGAUCAGGGUUUGCAUCAAUCUUGCUGAAAAAAUCCCCACCAAUAGGAUAAAAAGAGCUCAUCAUUCUGUUUAUGACAACGUCUGUAUCCACAUUGAAAUACUGUGUGUAUGAUGACACACUGAAUACCCCUUUCCAAUUGUUUGGUGGUUGUUGCUCAAAUCCUUCUGCACAAGAUGAGAUGUUAAAUAGGAGCAAGAAUUAGUAACAUGCAGAUUAAUGCAGCAAAUUAUGCAUCACCAAUAACGUAUGUGAAAUUGUGCCGCAUCAAAAUUUACGACAAAAGAUUAUGCAAAAGCCCCUCACAAUGCUAGUCAAAUUCACAGUAAAAAUGUUCAUACAUUCCCAUUCCACACAUGCAUUAAUACCCACAUUGAAUAUCAACAAAUAAAUAAUUAACAAGACAAGGUAUACCACAGAUCGAUCUGAAUUUAUGAAAUAAAAAGAUGUCAUGCAUCAUAAGUUUCAUCUUCCUAUUAAGUAACAUCUCUAUUUUAUUUUAUCUUUCUUUUUGUUUCCUUUGGGAUUUAUUUUGAGGAAGAAUAAAUUAUAUAGCAACCCUAUUUUAUUGCAGUAAAAAAGUAUUCCCCAGCCUCAAACUGUAUCAAAAAUAUCCAAUGCCCACUUGAGAAAUUAUUAUCACUAGAAAAAUGUGAAGCCACCAAUUCAAGUGGUCUCUUUGAACCAUCCACGUGAUAAAACAUUUGUGGUCUUAUCAACUUACAUCUAGUAGAUGCAUCUAUACCAGUAUAUGCCCUCUACCUAUUAGGCAUUCUCAAUCACUAAAACAAAGACAAAAUAUUUGGAUAACUGAAACAGAUUAUAAACCUAGGAUAUAUCUCUCUUCUAGGGAUGAUGUAAAGCUUACAUAUUGAGAAGGGGAAAAAUGUAAGAAUGGGAUUCCUCGUUUAUAGCCAAAAUACCUAUGAGCAUAUAGUUAUGCUAAGCAAAAUCAACUAUGAUGGGAGAAUCCUCCAAUAGUUUCAGUUUUCAUGAAUUUCACCAAAAAGAUGAUGUUAUUGGGCUAUUACUUUUCAUGUUUCCAAGCCAAGCAAUUGCCCUGUUCAUACAUUAGCUAAAAAAAUCAUUAAAGAAGUAAAAAAGCAAAGCUCCAAUGCAAAGGACUGUAAAUGUGCACAAAUGUGUUUAUGAAUUCUGCAUAUAAUCUGCAAGUCAGUGUUUGCACAUUGUUUGAGAACCAAUUUGCCUAACAUAACAACAUACAUGACCAAGACACAGUCCCGGCUACCUCAAACUAGAAAUCUUAUUUUGAAAAGAAAAUUAGAACAAUAAAUUAUUGUUCCACACAAUGAUUGACAAAAAGUCAAUAAUAGCGAUAAUUACAACAAUAAAUUAUUGUUCCAAAUAUGCAAACUCUUGGAAGUCAACAAGUUAGUUUGAGGGCUUCAGUCGGUUGUGGAAGUACCUCUU
RNAcentral lists this unclassified non-coding RNA (3328 nucleotides) under Hevea brasiliensis (rubber tree). The record is from RNAcentral. Lineage: Eukaryota; Viridiplantae; Streptophyta; Magnoliopsida; Malpighiales; Euphorbiaceae.